GCCUACGGGGCGCAGCAGUGAGGAAUAUUGGUCAAUGGGCGGGAGACUGAACCAGCCAAGCCGCGUGAGGGAUGAAGGUACAGAGUAUCGUAAACCUCUUUUGUCUGGGAACAAAGGCGGGGACGUGUCCCCGGUUGAGGGUACCUGAAGAAAAAGCAUCGGCUAAUUCCGUGCCAGCAGCCGCGGUAAUACGGAGGAUGCGGGCGUUAUCCGGCUUUAUUGGGUUUAAAGGGGGCGCAGGCGG
This 244-nucleotide ribosomal RNA is filed under the name uncultured bacterium. RNAcentral describes it as "partial 16S ribosomal RNA". It matches the Rfam family "Bacterial small subunit ribosomal RNA", at positions 337 to 578 of the family's 1533-position model. The record is from RNAcentral.